GUCCUCACUUUGGCAGCACAUAUACUAAAACUGGAACAAUACAGAGAAGAUUAGCAUGGCCCCUGCGCAAGGAUGCCAUGAAAAAGAAAAGAAAAAAAGAAUGAGAUC
This 108-nucleotide small nuclear RNA is filed under the name Myotis davidii. The record is from RNAcentral. Lineage: Eukaryota; Metazoa; Chordata; Mammalia; Chiroptera; Vespertilionidae.